UCUCCGUUGGUAAACCAGCGGAGGGAUCAUUGCUGGAACUGUAUCCGCAAGGACACAACCCCAGCUACCCUUUAUGAACUUAUUCUUAUAUCGUUGCCUCGGCGCUGAGCUAGGGGCUUCUUUCCAAGGAGCUCUCCCAUAGUCUCUCGGGACGAUAGAGCAAGCCCGCCGGCGGCCCUUCUAAACUCUUAUUUUUAUUACAUAUCUCUUCUAAGUUAUUCAAAACAAAAUGAAUCAAAACUUUCAACAACGGAUCUCUUGGUUCUGGCAUCGAUGAAGAACGCAGC
RNAcentral lists this unclassified non-coding RNA (287 nucleotides) under uncultured fungus. RNAcentral's name for it is "sequence contains ITS1, 5.8S rRNA gene". The stretch from base 239 to 287 matches the Rfam family "5.8S ribosomal RNA", at positions 1 to 49 of the family's 154-position model. Lineage: Eukaryota; Fungi. The record is from RNAcentral.